RNAcentral lists this ribosomal RNA (1306 nucleotides) under Triticum aestivum (bread wheat). RNAcentral's name for it is "partial small subunit ribosomal RNA". The record is from RNAcentral. Lineage: Eukaryota; Viridiplantae; Streptophyta; Magnoliopsida; Poales; Poaceae.
AGAAAUGCCCUCUCGUUCGUUCACCUCACCAACUCGAGCUCUCUCUCUCUGGUUCCCCUCUCACCUACCCCCUUCUCGCUCCCCUCCAGAUCCCCGUCGUCGCCGGCUUCUCCUCGUCGUCGUUCGCCGGCCUCUCCUCGCCACCACCACGCACUCUGUUUCCUCCGGCCGCGCACACCGCACCGUAGGUCAAAAGCUUGCUUUUUUAGGCGCCGUCGACCAACUUAUGGGCGGCGGAGGAUGGAUCCGCGUGCACCAAAGCUGGAUCCGCGCGUGUCGACGCCGUAGCAGCGGAGCAGGGCUAUAGCAGCGCCGUCCUCCUCACGACCACAUAGCCGCGUCGGCGAAGGACUCGAAUCCCUAGUCAGCGAGCUCAGGCAGCCAUGGAUCCAUGGUCGAUGCCAUGGAAGAGCCACCAACAGCAACAGCUAAGAUAUGGACAUGCAGGCCACUGCCCUUCCUGAUGCAUCAUGCGUGCUGCCCUCCCUAACCACCGCUUCUCGGACUCUACUUCUUCCUUGGUCACCAUGGAAGGUGGAGUGUUGUUGAGGUCCAGGAGAACCAUCUUCUACAGGCGAGACGACGAGGCCGUUGUCAGUGGUGAGCUGGUACUACAGGAGAAGGAACAUGCCCAGGAGAAGAAGGAGCACGCCCAGGAGAACAAGAAGGAGCAGGAUUAAGGCCCUAAGGACCUGGCAUCGCUGCUGCUGGACCUGGGACCUAGGAUUGCUGCUGCUGGACUUGGGAACUGGGAUUGCUGCUGCUGUGUGCCUCCUUGGCACCCCUGGAUCUGGGAUCGCUGCUGGAAACAAGGACCAGGGAUCGCUGCUGGAGGCGAGGACCUGGGAGCGCCUGGGACCUGGGCGCAUGGAGGAGAAGCAGGGGCAGGCGGAGGAGAAGCAGGGGCGGGCGAGCGGACGAUGGCCUGGUGAACGGGCGGGCUAUGGCCUCGCGGAUGGAGGAAGACGAUGGGGAUACCGAUUCAAACUAGGGGCAACGAUGUAAAUUCCACCGUUUUCACCUGGUCGGAACUAAUCCUCCAGCGACUUACAUUUCGGAAUGGAGGGAGUAGGUGAUAACAGGUACUCCUAUAAUUUGGGUAUGUUAGGGUCCGCUAGCUGCUAUACAAGUAUGAUUAACAUCUUGUCUUAGCUUCACUAGGGCAAUAUGCUCCACAAUAGUUGCCACUGAUCUCUUCUUAACCAGCUGGCUACGUCCUCCCCAGUUACCCAGGCGCUCCCUGUAAGAAUGGUGCCUGUCACCCUGCAUAUUCCUGUGAAUAUACCGUGCCGGGGAAGAAUAUACU